AGCUUUGCUCUGUGGCAAUAUUGUGGCCAAGGAGGUUUCUCCGAGGUGCAAUUAUUGCUAACUGAUA
This 67-nucleotide small nuclear RNA is filed under the name Otolemur garnettii (small-eared galago). Its description in RNAcentral is "U4 spliceosomal RNA". It matches the Rfam family "U4 spliceosomal RNA", at positions 1 to 67 of the family's 138-position model. From Rfam's summary of the family: U4 small nuclear RNA (U4 snRNA) is a component of the major U2-dependent spliceosome. The record is from Rfam by way of RNAcentral. Lineage: Eukaryota; Metazoa; Chordata; Mammalia; Primates; Galagidae.